AUGAACGCUGGCGGCGUGCCUAAUACAUGCAAGUCGAGCGAACGGACGAGAAGCUUGCUUCUCUGAUGUUAGCGGCGGACGGGUGAGUAACACGUGGAUAACCUACCUAUAAGACUGGGAUAACUUCGGGAAACCGGAGCUAAUACCGGAUAAUAUUUUGAACCGCAUGGUUCAAAAGUGAAAGACGGUCUUGCUGUCACUUAUAGAUGGAUCCGCGCUGCAUUAGCUAGUUGGUAAGGUAACGGCUUACCAAGGCAACGAUGCAUAGCCGACCUGAGAGGGUGAUCGGCCACACUGGAACUGAGACACGGUCCAGACUCCUACGGGAGGCAGCAGUAGGGAAUCUUCCGCAAUGGGCGAAAGCCUGGCGGAGCAACGCCGCGUGAGUGAUGAAGGUCUUCGGAUCGUAAAACUCUGUUAUUAGGGAAGAACAUAUGUGUAAGUAACUGUGCACAUCUUGACGGUACCUAAUCAGAAAGCCACGGCUAACUACGUG
This 496-nucleotide ribosomal RNA is filed under the name uncultured bacterium. RNAcentral describes it as "partial 16S ribosomal RNA". It matches the Rfam family "Bacterial small subunit ribosomal RNA", at positions 29 to 507 of the family's 1533-position model. The record is from RNAcentral.